Prinia subflava (tawny-flanked prinia) is the source of this 842-nucleotide long non-coding RNA. RefSeq lists it as uncharacterized. NCBI's taxonomy places the organism in Eukaryota, Metazoa, Chordata, Aves, Passeriformes, Cisticolidae. The record is from RefSeq and is a predicted model, not a curated record. The transcript is spliced from 3 exons.
AGCAAAUAUUGGUUUUUUUUCAUCUUUAUACACAUUCAAGUUUGCAGGGCAGACACAUGAUAACAUAAAACUUUGUUGGAAGCAGGAGACAAGAAGAAAAUGGAGCUCUGUUUCUGUGCAGUUAAUAAAAAUCAGCAGAAGGAAGGCUGUCAGUGUGGAAUAAAGACAGAGGAGUUAUGUGCAUUUCGUGCAGUUCACGUGAGUGCGAUGCAUUUCGUGGCACUGCACUGAAAGAAGAGGUUGAGAUACAUGCAUCUCUCACAUGGGCUACUCCUCGUUCCUAAAACAUGCCAGCCCUUUCCUAACCGUGCUUACUGAAAGCUCUGGCAAUGCUUUCACAUCAAUUACUCAGCAAAGAGAAGACUUUUGCUCCUGUGGCACACCUUAUGCGUCACACUGGCAAGCAAGGCCCUAACUCUGCAGACUGCCCCCUGUUCCACUGCUCUGAAGAAUAAAAUACAUGACUACGUAAGAGCGUGCUUCUCUCAGCUUUGCCUUGUGGUUAAAUAUUAAACAAUGCUGUCCUUAACUGAGGAGAAGGUCAGAACACACUGUAUCUCCUUCCAGCCCAAAAGCUAACCUCCUCCUUUCUCCUUUUCCUUCCCUUCCCUCCCUCCUGCUGCUUUCAGACAUAUGCAAGGAUAGCUGCCACCAUUAACUGCAACAGGGAGAUGAGAGCAACUACAAAACUGGGCUUCUGAUGACAAGAACCACGUAUCACAUGGAGCAGCUGAAGGAGAAUGAUGUCAUAAUGGUGACCUUGGCAUAAGAACAGAUACAGGAAAGGAUCAGUUAUUUUUCUGCAUAUUCAACUUAAGUGAAGUGUACCUGCAGUGCUUCCA